Molecule: long non-coding RNA, 421 nt
Organism: Drosophila biarmipes
Lineage: Eukaryota; Metazoa; Arthropoda; Insecta; Diptera; Drosophilidae
Exons: 2
Source: RefSeq, a predicted model, not a curated record
AGAAAAAGAAAUCAAAGUAGUCAAGGAAAAAAACAUGGCAGCGGCAAGUUUGUGUUCAGAUAUUGCUCGCAGGCUAACGGGUUAGGUUAGGUCAUGCUAUAUAAAUUCUAGCCUACUCUGGGCGAAGCAGCAUCACACCCAAUGCCAACAUUCAAAUUGGCCAAAUGGUUACAAUUCACGAGGAUAAUACACCUCCCCAGGAAUGGAUCCUUGGUCGCAUCACCGACACGCAUGUCGGAGCUGAUGGACGAGGACGAUAUCAAGGUGAAAAAUGGAACAAUUUUAAGACCCAUCUGUAAGAUAGCUCCCCUGCUCCCCUCCUUGGAUCAUUCAUCGGGCGAAGAAUGUUCGGUGAAAUCAUAAGUCAAUAUUAAUUCUGAUUCAAUUAUUAUUAUUUUAUAAAGAACUUCGUCUAAGCUAA